This 402-nucleotide ribosomal RNA is filed under the name uncultured Glomus. RNAcentral describes it as "SSU rRNA". It matches the Rfam family "Eukaryotic small subunit ribosomal RNA", at positions 569 to 977 of the family's 1831-position model. Lineage: Eukaryota; Fungi; Glomeromycota; Glomeromycetes; Glomerales; Glomeraceae. The record is from RNAcentral.
AGCAGCCGCGGUAAUUCCAGCUCCAAUAGCGUAUAUUAAAGUUGUUGCAGUUAAAAAGCUCGUAGUUGAAUUUCGGGAUCAAUUUAUUGGUCGUGCUAUUGUACGUACUGGUAUUAUUGAUUCCUACCUUCUGACGAACCACGAUGCCAUUAAUUUGGUGUCAUGGGGAAUCAGGACUGUUACUUUGAAAAAUUAGAGUGUUUAAAGCAGGCUCACGCUUGAAUACAUUAGCAUGGAAUAACGAAAUAGGACGUUUGAUUCUAUUUUGUUGGUUUCUAGGAUCGACGUAAUGAUUAAUAGGGAUAGUUGGGGGCAUUAGUAUUCAAUUGUCAGAGGUGAAAUUCUUGGAUUUAUUGAAGACUAACUACUGCGAAAGCAUUUGCCAAGGAUGUUUUCAUUAAU